UAUAAACAUAAGCUGUCUCUCUUCAUGUCACACCCUGGUCUCUGUAGAAUAUUUCUUUCUUAACUGCUGCAUUUCACAUGUGGCUCCAUGUGUAUGUCUGUGUGGGUGUGUGUGUAU
Long non-coding RNA from Octopus sinensis (East Asian common octopus), 117 nucleotides. RefSeq lists it as uncharacterized. The record is from RefSeq and is a predicted model, not a curated record. Lineage: Eukaryota; Metazoa; Mollusca; Cephalopoda; Octopoda; Octopodidae. The transcript has 3 exons.